This is a non-coding RNA of Oryctolagus cuniculus (rabbit), 4112 nucleotides long. The record is from RefSeq and is a predicted model, not a curated record. NCBI's taxonomy places the organism in Eukaryota, Metazoa, Chordata, Mammalia, Lagomorpha, Leporidae.
CUUCAGGGAAGCCCAUGCCCGCCCCAGAGAUGACACAUGGAAAAGACGGAUCAGACUCCGGCCAGGCCAGGAUACAGUCUCUGCAUAGAGGUUGUUUUUGUCUCCAGUGCCAUCGAAAACACAUCCUCUUAACUGAUUCAGCAGGGGAUCCGCAUAGUCACGCACGCUGGAGGUUGCCAAGGUGAACAGAACCCCAGCUUACAUUCUGCCAGGCCAGGGGGACGUGGAAGCCUGGAAGCCCACAGAGGAAACCUACUAUGCUAUUGGUGAAUUUUUUUUGGAUGCUGUUUACGUUUGAACUUUUCUCUGUUUUCCUGUUGAAACUUCCGUACCCUCUUCCUGUGUCCCUACGCAGGCUGGGACAAUGCAGUCCCAGCACUGCCGUAGGACAUGGGCAGGGCCCCACCUUCCUCCUUCCUGCAGGGAUAUCCUUUCCUAUAGAAGAGAUGUAUCCGCUGCCACCAGAAGCUGGGGACAUUUCCGCUCACCCCAAAUCGAAUGCGUCCUGCAUUGACACAAAUGACAUCUUUCAGAGCUGCAAGUGAAUCAAAUUUAAAUGAAGCUCCUUGGGACUGCAGCGGCUGUAAGCCAGCUCAGAGUCUCAGCUUUGCUCUGUCUUCUCACCCACCACUUGGUAAAGCACCUUUGGGGACUGUGGGCCUUGACGCACUCCAGUAAGUUCACGUUUCCCUGCUCUCCUGGACAUCUCCUCCUGCCUACUCCUUUUGAAGAUGCUGGGGCUCCUCUACGCCGAUGGCCUCCGGGAAAGGAUGUUACAGUGGAAAACAGGGUCAGGAAAAGACUCUUCCUGACUUUAGAGUUUCAAAGGCUUAGCCUGUUAGGGAAGUGGCAAAGUUUCACAGAAAGGACACGCAGUUUGGCAGAAAUGUCGUAAGAACAGAAGUCUUCACCAGCUGCACCCCCUGAGCUUCAAGAAUCAGGGGGAGCCCAAAGAGAAAAGAAAACUUGGUGGGGUCUGGAACACGAGGGUUAAGAUCUGCAGGGACUCAGCACCUCCCCUCCGGGCCACCUCUGAUGCACCCCCAGAGCCUGGAGUUCACUCAUUCCCAGGGGCUACACUAGUGACCUUGUCCUUUGACCUCUGAUGAGGACUUCCUCGGGCAGCUGUUGGUGUUUUCCUCGCUGACCACUUAGCAGGAGUAACAACAGUCUAUGUCCCCAAACAUGGCAAUGUCACAGUGGGACUAAUUAGCAUGUGGUCAGCAUGUUGGGCUGACCACAUGGGGAAGUCCCCACAGGGGCUGGAGGGUGGUAAUGCCAUGGCAGAAAAAUCCUUUGUGUCAGCAAUUGAAGGCUGAAUGGAAGCACUCAAGAUUUACCCCGAACAACAGAGUUUUAAGCCCCACGCCUAUCUCAAGCUCUCCUUGAUCACACAGCUCUGGCCUCUACAGGGAGUCCCAUUGCUUCUCCACGUUGAAGAACUCUGGACUAUUUCCCGCAGAUCUGGUCUUGUGGUCUAUAUGGGUUAUCCUGUCCUGUAUUCCAUUCCUAACCUCUGACUUCACCCUGAUCUUGGGUACUUGCCUGCUUUUCCAGAUUCCCAGGCCUCUCCUCAGUUCCCAGGCCAGGGCGGCUUUAGCAACCUUCAUGUCUUCUUUAUUGGAAUGCUGGCCAUGCACCCUCCUCAUGGACACAUCAGUCACACAUCUAGAGGUCCUCAACUCCCAAGAACUCUCAAAUGACCCCUCCCCAUCAUGCCCAAGAGGGAAUGGGCUACAGGUAAAAUGGAGUCCUCAGAGCUACACCAUGAGUACCAGAGGAGGAGGUUUUGCCUGGGAUAGGUCAGAAUACAGUAUAGGUUGAGUAUCCCUUAUCCAGAAUGUUUGGGAACAGAAGUGUUUUAGAUUUCAGAUGACUUUUCAUGUUUUGGAAUUUAAAAAAAAAAAGAUUUAUUUUUACAUUUAUUUGAAAGACAGAGUAAUGGAGAGGGGAGGGAAGGAGGGAGAGAGAGAGAAAAAGAGAGAGAAAUCUUCCAUCCACUGUUUCACCCCCAAAUGGCUGCAAUGACUGGGGCAAGGCCAGCCUGAAGCCAGGAGCCAGGAGCUUCAUUUGAGUCUCCCACAUGGAUGGCAGGAAGCCAAGUACUUGAGUUAUCUUCUACUGCUUUCCCAAAUGCAUUAGCAGGGAGCUAGAUGAGAAGUGGAGCAGCUGGGAUUCAAACCAGCACUCUGAUAUGGAAUGCUGGUGUUGCAAGCUGUGGCUUAACCUGCAGCAUCACUAUACUAGCCUUCUAUAUUUUGGAAUCUUUGAAUAUACCUAAUUAGAUAACUUGGGGAUGGGACCCAAGUCUAAACAUGAAAUCCAUUUUCAAUUUUUUAUACACUUUAUACAUAUAACUAAAGGGUAACUUUAUAUGGCAUUGUAAAUAAUUGUGUGCAACUUUGUGUGCAUUGAAACAUCAGAAAGUAAUGGUGGGGGACCAGCGCUGGCAUAGGGGAUAAAGCUGCCACCUGCAGUGCCAGCAUCCCAUAUAUUCGCUGGUUUGAGUCCCGGCUGCUCCACUUCUGAUCCAGCUCUCUGCUAUGGCCUGGGAAAGCAGUGGAAGAUGGCUGAAGUCCUUGGGCCCCUGCACCCACAUGGGAGACCUGGAGGAAACUCCUGGCUCUUGGAUCAGUGCAGCUCUAGCUUGCGACCAUUUGGGGAGUGAACCAGCAGAUGGAAGACUUUCUCUCUCUCUCUUUCUGCCUCUCCAUCUCUCUGUGUGUAACUUUGCUUUUCAAAUAAAUAAACAACUCCUUAAAAAAAAAAAAAAACAUGUUACCACCUGUGCACAGUCUGAGGUUGCUUACCAUCACCAUCACUCCUCACUCUGAACUGAUAUGCUUAUCAGUAGCAUAUAAAUACAUUUAUUACUUUAGAAAGAGUAUUUAUUUAUUUAUUGGAGAGACAGAGAGCUCCCAUUGGCUGCUUCACUUCUCAAAUGCCGACAAAAGCUGGGAUAGGGCCAGGACUGAAGCUGGGAGUCAGACACUUAAUCCAGGUCUCCCACGUGGGUGGCAGGGACCUAAUCUCUUGAGCCAUUACUGCUGCCUCCAAGGGUCUGCACUAGCAGGAAGCUGAAGUCAAGAGCCAGAGGCGGAGGCAGAAAUCGAACCCAGGCACUGCAUACAUUUUCUGACAUCUUAAGCACUAGGCCAAAUGCCUGUCCUUAGUGUUAUGCUUUGGCUGUGAACCAUCCCCUGUGGUCAGGUGUGGAGUUUUCCAAUGUAGAUUCAUGUCAGUACUCAAAAUGUUUCAGAUUUCAAAUUUUUGGAUUAGGGGUGCUCAUCCGAUAAUAGAAUCAAGUUGGGUCAAUGACUGACCAGGAUCACUUACCAACCACAUGGAGUCCCUUCUCCACUGUGUGACUGUGUAGUUAGAUCAUCCCAGGGACAAGCUGGCUCUUUUCUCCUUAGCGGAAGGGAAGUGAAGGGUGGCUCCAGGCCCAAAGGGAAGGCCUUUCCUGCAGUCUAGCAGGAAGUCCAGAGGGCCCAGAACAGGCCCGGUGGACAUGUGCUGAGAGCUCAGACCUGCAAACAGAGAAGAAAGGGAGCAGGGAAACCACAUGGGUCUCCAACAUGAAUAUUCACUGGUCACAUCUACAUCACAAAGACGAAAAUGAAAAAUGCCAAGUGGAAGUAUCACUUUUGGCUUAUAUCACAUACUUGGCGUCAUUAAUUUCCAUCUUUGCACUUUCCCCUUGCCCCUCUGUAUUGCAUAGAGGGGUUGUGAGGCUUAAUUAAUAUUUAUAGAGAGUCUUUAGCUCUCCCAUGAAAGCAGUGAUAAAAGUGCAAGAAAGGUCAUCAUCACAGAUCCUAGUUUGUUCAGAAAUUCUGUGCACAAGCACUAUUCGGAAAGGUGUAGGAUUGUCAGUGUUUCAAAGGUUGCUGCUGCCUGGGGAACAGAAAUGCACCAGGAAAGGAGAUUUUGCAUGGUGAAAUUAUAAACGUAUUCAGAGUUAAGAAAAGAAAGUAAAGAAGCAAACAUCAAGGGGUUAUGAGUGACACUGGACUCGUUGGCAGGAACAAAGCAGGCUCUCUACCAGGUGACAAUGUGACUGAUUUCUAUGUAAGGUUUUUCAAAUCAUGUCUAUUAAAGGGCUCUCAAACUUU